RNAcentral lists this long non-coding RNA (849 nucleotides) under Nicotiana benthamiana. RNAcentral describes it as "long non-coding RNA (NBEN_LNC025367)". The record is from RNAcentral. Lineage: Eukaryota; Viridiplantae; Streptophyta; Magnoliopsida; Solanales; Solanaceae.
UAGCAUCAAGCUAACGACAAACAUGAGUAGAAAACAAUUAUGUAUUAAAUAAAUAAAUAAAAAGUAUAUUUUCUCUAAUAAAUUUUAGAUGAAAUGGUAAUUCAACUUUAAAUGGUAUCCAAAUAGAUAUGUAUAUUAGCUUCGAGUCUCACUAUCACCUAUUAUAAAAAAAGAAUUUUCAUGUGCGGGAGGGUGAUAGACAAUAAUUAAGUAUUGUAAAUAAGAAGAGAGAAUAUUCAAAAGAUGAUAAAUCAAAGUUGAAAGGAAGAUAUACCUGGGAAUUAUUGUCAAUGUGAUUCAGCUGUGUUUCAGCUUUGGUUGAUUCAAAACGACGAAAGGCGAAGUGGGGAGGAUAGAUUCCAAGAAUUCCUAAUGGGUAUCUCAGAUUUGGCGAUAUAAGUGUAUGAACAGAAUGCGAACCCAAAAAUCCCAUCUUGGGCUUCAAAUAGAUCAACUUUCUUGAUUUUGAGAAGAACAGAGCCAUCGCAAUGUUUCUUUGUGUGUGUGGGAGAGAGAGAAGAGACGAAGAGGUCAAAACAGAGGUUUAGGCGGAAGCAAAGCAACGAGCUUCAUUGUCAGUCAGAUUCCAUGUGGAAAUUGGAUUUUCUUUAAAAGAUAUGACAAGAUCGAUAUUUGACUCUAUUUCCUUUUCCGCCCCUUGAAAUUUGAAAUAUAGUAAAUCUUGCCUACUUAGUAUUUAUUAUGAUCAUUUAACCCCGUUUUGUUUGGGAGUUGGGAUGAUUAAAAUUGAUAUAUUUUGGUAUUGUAAAAAUUUAUCCGUGUUAUAAAAUAAUAAAAUAACAAGAGCAAUAUUGCAGAGAAAGAGAGAGAGAAAAUUCUUAUUGAAUU